AUGGCCUGGGCCACAUUCCUGCUCCCGCUCCUCAACCUCUACACAGGCUCUGUUGACUCCUAUGAGCUGACACAGCCACCCUCGGUGUCAGUGUCCCCAGGACAGACAGCCAGGAUCACCUGCUCUGGAGAUGUACUGGGGGAAAAUUAUGCUGACUGGUACCAGCAGAAGCCAGGCCAGGCCCCUGUGUUGGUUAUAUACAAAGAUAGUGAGCGGCCCCCUGGAAUCCCUGAGCGAUUCUCUGGGUCUACCUCAGGGAACACGACCACCCUGACCAUCAGCAGCGUCCUGACCGAAGACAAGGCUGACUAUUACUGUUUGUCUGGGGAUGAGGACAAUCCCACAGUGACACAGGCAGAUGAGGAAGACACUGGCAUAAGGAGUCACUACCAAGCUACGCUGGCCCUGUAUUUCUAUCCAGAACCAGUCAAAGCCACCCCUGAGUCCUGCAGUUCUCCGUACCAAGCCCCAGUCCCCCUUCAGGACCACCCAUCACCCAGAGAGACAGACGUGCAGGGAGCCCGAGGAAGAACCUGA
Non-coding RNA from Pongo pygmaeus (Bornean orangutan), 537 nucleotides. The record is from the annotation of a RefSeq genome assembly. NCBI's taxonomy places the organism in Eukaryota, Metazoa, Chordata, Mammalia, Primates, Hominidae.